AACGAACGCUGGCGGCAUGCCUAACACAUGCAAGUCGAACGAAACGACCGGGACUUGUGGCGUACGGCUGCGUCACGCGUGGGAACCUGCCCUUAGGUUCGGACUAACUAUCCGAAUGGGGUGAUAAUACCGGAUAAUGUCUUCGGCCCAAAGAUAUAUCGCCUUUGGUUGGUCCGGCGUUGGAUUAGCUAGUUGGUACGGGAAUAGCCUACCAAGGCCACGAUUAAUAGCUGGUUUGAGAGGAUGAUCACCGACACUUGGAUUGGGACCCGGCCUAGACUCCUACGGGAUGGAGCAGAGGGGAAUAUAGGACCAUGGGCGAAGGCCUGAUGCAGCAAGGCCGCGUGAGUGAUGAUGGCCGUGGGGUUGUAAAGUGCUAUUACCCGGGAUGAUAUUGACGGUACCGGGUGAAUAAGCUCCGGCUAACUCCGUG
This 433-nucleotide ribosomal RNA is filed under the name uncultured bacterium. RNAcentral describes it as "partial 16S ribosomal RNA". It matches the Rfam family "Bacterial small subunit ribosomal RNA", at positions 29 to 507 of the family's 1533-position model. The record is from RNAcentral.